GGUUUUAGCUCAGUUGGUAGAGUGUUUGUCUCCCACGUACAAGACCCUGGGUUCAAUCCCCAGACCUACCA
RNAcentral lists this transfer RNA (71 nucleotides) under Marmota monax (woodchuck). RNAcentral describes it as "tRNA.Gly". It matches the Rfam family "tRNA". Rfam says of the family: Transfer RNA (tRNA) molecules are approximately 80 nucleotides in length. Their secondary structure includes four short double-helical elements and three loops (D, anti-codon, and T loops). Lineage: Eukaryota; Metazoa; Chordata; Mammalia; Rodentia; Sciuridae. The record is from RNAcentral.